RNAcentral lists this ribosomal RNA (329 nucleotides) under uncultured eukaryote. Its description in RNAcentral is "partial 18S ribosomal RNA". It matches the Rfam family "Eukaryotic small subunit ribosomal RNA", at positions 1470 to 1796 of the family's 1831-position model. The record is from RNAcentral.
CCCUUAGAUGUCCUGGGCCGCACGCGCGCUACACUGACAUGUUCAACAAGCCUCCUAGUUCGACAGGAUUUGGGAAAUCUUUGAACGCAUGUCGUGAUAGGGAUAGAUCAUUGCAAUUAUUGAUCUUGAACGAGGAAUUCCUAGUAAACGCGAGUCAUCAGCUUGCGUUGAUUACGUCCCUGCCCUUUGUACACACCGCCCGUCGCUACUACCGAUUGAAUGGUUUAGUGAGAUCCUUGGAUCGGCCCUGUCGCGGCUGGCAACGGCCGCGUCGGCGCGUCGAGAAGACGAUCAAACUUGAUCAUUUAGAGGAAGUAAAAGUCGUAACA